Molecule: ribosomal RNA, 297 nt
Filed under: uncultured bacterium
Lineage: Bacteria
Description: partial 16S ribosomal RNA
Rfam family: Bacterial small subunit ribosomal RNA
Source: RNAcentral
AUUUGCCGCGUGAGUGAUGAAGGCCUUAGGUUGUAAGCUCUUUUACCCGGGAAGAUAAUGACGGUACCGGGAGAAUAAGCCCCGGCUAACUUCGUGCCAGCAGCCCGCGGUAAUACGAAGGGGGCUAGCGUUGUUCGGAUUUACUGGGCGUAAAGCGCACGUAGGCGGAUCUUUAAGUCAGAGGUGAAAUCCCAGGGACUCAACCCUUGGAACUGCCUUUGAUACUAGGCGGAUCUCGAGUCCUGGGAAGAAGGUGAGUGGCAAACUUGCGAAGUGUGAGACGGUGAAAUUCUGCUA